Molecule: ribosomal RNA, 440 nt
Filed under: uncultured bacterium
Lineage: Bacteria
Description: partial 16S ribosomal RNA
Rfam family: Bacterial small subunit ribosomal RNA
Source: RNAcentral
CCUACGGGUGACAGCAGUGGGGAAUAUUGCACAAUGGGGGAAACCCUGAUGCAGCGACGCCGCGUGAGCGAUGAAGUAUUUCGGUAUGUAAAGCUCUAUCAGCAGGGAAGAAAAUGACGGUACCUGACUAAGAAGCCCCGGCUAACUACGUGCCAGCAGCCGCGGUAAUACGUAGGGGGCAAGCGUUAUCCGGAGUUACUGGGUGUAAAGGGAGCGUAGACGGCUGUGCAAGCCAGAUGUGAAAGCCCGGGGCCCAACCCCGGGACUGCCUUUGAAACUGUGUGGCUAGAGUGUCGGAGAGGCAGGCGGAAUGCCUAGUGUAGCGGUGAAAUGCGUAGAUAUUAGGAGGAACACCAGUGGCGAAGGCGGCCUGCUGGACGAUGACUGACGUUGAGGCUCGAAAGCGUGGGGAGCAAACAGGAUUAGAUACCCGGGUAGUC